GCCGCCGUAGCUCAGCCGGUAGAGCGCCGCCCCGGUAAGGCGGAGGCCCCGGGUUCAAACCCCGGCGGCGGCUCCA
Molecule: transfer RNA, 76 nt
Filed under: Tiamatella incendiivivens (SeqCode)
Lineage: Archaea; Thermoproteati; Thermoproteota; Thermoprotei; Acidilobales; Acidilobaceae
Description: Candidatus Tiamatella incendiivivens tRNA-Thr
Rfam family: tRNA
About the family: Transfer RNA (tRNA) molecules are approximately 80 nucleotides in length. Their secondary structure includes four short double-helical elements and three loops (D, anti-codon, and T loops).
Source: RNAcentral